AACGCACAUUGCGCCCCUUGGUAUUCCGAGGGGCAUGCCUGUUCGAGCGUCAUUAUCACCCCUCAAGCCUAGCUUGGUGUUGGGGCCCGCCCGUCAGGGCAGCCCUUAAAAUCAGUGGCGGCGCCGUCAGGCUCUAAGCGUAGUAAUACUUCUCGCUAUAGAGCCCUGGCGGUCUCUUGCCAAAACCCCUAAUUUUUUAUGAUUGACCUCGGAUCAGGUAGGGUUACCCGCUGAACUUAA
Molecule: unclassified non-coding RNA, 240 nt
Filed under: uncultured Helotiales
Lineage: Eukaryota; Fungi; Ascomycota; Leotiomycetes; Helotiales
Description: sequence contains 5.8S rRNA gene, ITS2, 28S rRNA gene
Rfam family: 5.8S ribosomal RNA (bases 1-52)
Source: RNAcentral